GUCACCGCAAUUUGUGCCCCCCCGGGGCAGUUAUGGGGGGAAAUUUCCGUUCCGUGCUGCAGGCGCUGAGCGUGGUGCAAUGGAUGCUGACCUUCCUCUUCCUCGGGCCGGUGUCGCUGCUGGUGCUGCUGGCGCUGCUGAGGACGCGGCUCUGGAUCCUCCCGGUCACCUACGGGGGGUGGUGGCUCUGGGACUGGAACGGGCCCGACACAGGGCCGCGGCACUGGGAUUGGCUCCGGAGCUGGCGCGUCUGGGACCAUUUCUGUGACUAUUUCCCCAUCCGGGUACCGGGAACUGUCCCCAGAUG
Molecule: long non-coding RNA, 307 nt
Organism: Parus major (Great Tit)
Lineage: Eukaryota; Metazoa; Chordata; Aves; Passeriformes; Paridae
Source: Ensembl